This is a non-coding RNA of Gorilla gorilla gorilla (western lowland gorilla), 148 nucleotides long. It matches the Rfam family "Metazoan signal recognition particle RNA". Rfam says of the family: The signal recognition particle (SRP) is a universally conserved ribonucleoprotein. The record is from Rfam. Lineage: Eukaryota; Metazoa; Chordata; Mammalia; Primates; Hominidae.
GCUGGGCGUGGUGGGGUGCGCCUGUAGUCCCAGGUACUCGGGAGGCUGAGGCAGGAGAAUCGCUUGAGCCCAGGAGGCAGAGGUUGCAGUGAGUCGAGACUGUGCCACUGCACUCCAGCCUGGGCGAUAGAGUGAGACUCUGUCUCAA